CCUCCCCCCAACCCCCACGAGCCACGUCCUCCCGAGCUACCCAAUUCACCGUCGUGGUCCGCCUCAACCUCCCACCAGCCUCCUCCCGUGCCGCCGCCGCUGGCCUCCUCCCGCCGGCCUCCUCCCACGCUACUGUCGGCCUCCUCCCGCGACGCUGCCGCCGGCCUCUCAAUCACGCAAGCUGUCGCCUCCAGGACCGGGAUGCAGGCCCAGGUCUCUGGCGAAGCCGCCGUCCAGGGGCCCGACGCCUUGGUCUCGUGACCUCCACGCUACCGUCGUCCUCACCACAAGCCACUACGGGCGCCGUCGCCCCCGGCCCUGCACUCCACCGCCGCACCCUGCCUUCUUCCCUCGGCAGCUGCUCCACAUUGCAUCCGCCCGACGCCGCGGCGCCCCCAACCCAUCUGCUUUCCCCAACCCCUGAACCUUCGUCUACUGGUUGACCUUCUCGCAAAGGCCACCUCGACCUUCUCGAGGAAGGUUGCUUCCGGGGAUCCGGCUCGCAGGGUGCACGCAAUCUCAUCGUAGCUUGUCGCUGUUGGGUGAAGAUCCGCCGGCCUGAAGACGCAAGAGGAGCAAAGGGGAUACAGAGCAUGUGUAGAACAUGGACUGCUCGCACGCGCCGCCACGGACUGCUUCGCUGCCAUCCUCGUCGUGCUGUGUCCACGGGGCUCCUUGACCCAUCGACGGCGACAACUGCACACAGCCCCUGCUCCUCAACUCCGACGGCCGUGCAGGCAGCCAUCCCACAUGGAGGCCGACACCAUGCUGGCUGAUUGCUUCCACUCACGUGCUUGCGAAUGGAUGGCGCCUGAGGAUAUUCAUUUGCUUUAGUGACUCGUAUGCUUCCGUGUCUACGCUCAUCCUGAGUAUUCUCCGUCUCUGGUUCAUGCGUACAUCAUAUAUUUGAUGCUAACAUGUGUCUAAUGCAGACCACUACAAAAAGACAAUUCACUCAGUCCUAAAAAGUAGUGUUUGUUC
Molecule: long non-coding RNA, 981 nt
Organism: Triticum dicoccoides
Lineage: Eukaryota; Viridiplantae; Streptophyta; Magnoliopsida; Poales; Poaceae
Exons: 2
Source: RefSeq, a predicted model, not a curated record